GUGUGUCAGUGUGUCUGUGUGUGUAUGUCAGUAUGUCUGUCAUAGACACACACAGACAUACUGACAUACAUACACAAACAGACAU
Non-coding RNA from Pelobates cultripes (western spadefoot toad), 85 nucleotides. NCBI's taxonomy places the organism in Eukaryota, Metazoa, Chordata, Amphibia, Anura, Pelobatidae. The record is from the annotation of a GenBank genome assembly.